Molecule: ribosomal RNA, 473 nt
Filed under: uncultured Gelria sp.
Lineage: Bacteria; Bacillati; Bacillota; Clostridia; Thermoanaerobacterales; Thermoanaerobacteraceae
Description: bacterial SSU rRNA
Rfam family: Bacterial small subunit ribosomal RNA
Source: RNAcentral
UUGGACGGGGCCCGCACAAGCGGUGGAGCAUGUGGUUUAAUUCGACGCAACGCGAAGAACCUUACCAGGGCUUGACAUCCCCUGACCGCGUAUGAAAGUACGUUUUCACCCUCGGGUGACAGGGAGACAGGUGGUGCAUGGUUGUCGUCAGCUCGUGUCGUGAGAUGUUGGGUUAAGUCCCGCAACGAGCGCAACCCUUGUCAUUAGUUGCCAUCAUUUAGUUGGGCACUCUAAUGAGACUGCCGGUGACAAACCGGAGGAAGGUGGGGAUGACGUCAAGUCCUCAUGGCCCUUAUGGGUAGGGCUUCACACGUCAUACAAUGGUCGGUACAGAGGGUUGCCAAGCCGCGAGGUGGGGCCAAUCCCUUAAAGCCGAUCGUAGUCCGGAUCGUAGUCUGCAACUCGACUACGUGAAGUCGGAAUCGCUAGUAAUCGCAGAUCAGCAUGCUGCGGUGAAUACGUUCCCGGGUCUU